Molecule: ribosomal RNA, 460 nt
Filed under: uncultured bacterium
Lineage: Bacteria
Description: partial 16S ribosomal RNA
Rfam family: Bacterial small subunit ribosomal RNA
Source: RNAcentral
CCUACGUGCGGCAGCCGUGAGGAAUAUUGGUCAAUGGACGAGAGUCUGAACCAGCCAAGUAGCGUGAAGGAUGACUGCCCUAUGGGUUGUAAACUUCUUUUAUAAAGGAAUAAAACGAGGCACGUGUGCCUUUUUGCAUUUACUUUAUGAAUAAGGAUCGGCUAACUCCGUGCCAGCAGCCGCGGUAAUACGGAGGCUCCGAGCUUUAUCCGAGUUUAUUGGAUUUAAAGGGAGCGUAGAUGGGUUGUUAAGUCAGUUGUGAACAUUUGCGGGUCAACCGUAAAAUUGCAAUUGAUACUGGCAGUCUUGAGUACAGUUGAGGUAGGCGGAAUGCGUGGUGUAGCGGUGAAAUGCUUAGAUAUCACGAAGAACCCCGAUUGCGAAGGCAGCUUACUAAACUGUGACUGACAUUGAUGCUCGAAAGUGUGGGUAUCAAACAGGAUUAGAUACCCGUGUAGUC